Molecule: ribosomal RNA, 538 nt
Filed under: uncultured Acinetobacter sp.
Lineage: Bacteria; Pseudomonadati; Pseudomonadota; Gammaproteobacteria; Moraxellales; Moraxellaceae
Description: bacterial SSU rRNA
Rfam family: Bacterial small subunit ribosomal RNA
Source: RNAcentral
CUGAAUUCAGCGGCGGACGGGUGAGUAAUGCCUAGGAAUCUGCCUGGUAGUGGGGGACAACGUUUCGAAAGGAACGCUAAUACCGCAUACGUCCUACGGGAGAAAGCAGGGGAUCUUCGGACCUUGCGCUAAUAGAUGAGCCUAAGUCAGAUUAGCUAGUUGGUGGGGUAAAGGCCUACCAAGGCGACGAUCUGUAGCGGGUCUGAGAGGAUGAUCCGCCACACUGGGACUGAGACACGGCCCAGACUCCUACGGGAGGCAGCAGUGGGGAAUAUUGGACAAUGGGGGGAACCCUGAUCCAGCCAUGCCGCGUGUGUGAAGAAGGCCUUUUGGUUGUAAAGCACUUUAAGCGAGGAGGAGGCUCCUUUAGUUAAUACCUAAAGUGAGUGGACGUUACUCGCAGAAUAAGCACCGGCUAACUCUGUGCCAGCAGCCGCGGUAAUACAGAGGGUGCGAGCGUUAAUCGGAUUUACUGGGCGUAAAGCGUGCGUAGGUGGCCAAUUAAGUCAAAUGUGAAAUCCCCGAGCUUAACUUGGGA